CCUACGGGAGGCAGCAGUGAGGAAUAUUGGUCAAUGGACGAGAGUCUGAACCAGCCAAGUAGCGUGAAGGAUGACUGCCCUAUGGGUUGUAAACUUCUUUUAUAUGGGAAUAAAAUGUUCCACGUGUGGGAUUUUGUAUGUACCAUAUGAAUAAGGAUCGGCUAACUCCGUGCCAGCAGCCGCGGUAAUACGGAGGAUCCGAGCGUUAUCCGGAUUUAUUGGGGUUAAAGGGAGCGUAGGUGGAUUGUUAAGUCAGUUGUGAAAGUUUGCGGCUCAACCGUAAAAUUGCAGUUGAAACUGGCAGUCUUGAGUACAGUAGAGGUGGGCGGAAUUCGUGGUGUAGCGGUGAAAUGCUUAGAUAUCACGAAGAACUCCGAGUGCGAAGGCAGUUCACUGGACUGCAACUGACACUGAGGCUCGAAAGUGUGGGUAUCAAACAGGAUUAGAUACCCGUGUAGUC
RNAcentral lists this ribosomal RNA (460 nucleotides) under uncultured bacterium. Its description in RNAcentral is "partial 16S ribosomal RNA". It matches the Rfam family "Bacterial small subunit ribosomal RNA", at positions 338 to 795 of the family's 1533-position model. The record is from RNAcentral.